This is a long non-coding RNA of Diabrotica virgifera virgifera (western corn rootworm), 540 nucleotides long. RefSeq lists it as uncharacterized. The transcript is spliced from 3 exons. The record is from RefSeq and is a predicted model, not a curated record. NCBI's taxonomy places the organism in Eukaryota, Metazoa, Arthropoda, Insecta, Coleoptera, Chrysomelidae.
UAAUAUGCUUCAUUGGUGUUUUGUUUUGAAGUGUGAAAUGCAAAGUAAUUGUGAUAAAGUCAAGAUAAAGUUCACUUUUAAACUGAACUAAAUAAGGUAUCUGAGAGACAACAAUGGUUAAAUGCAAUACAAUGUACAGGUUUUACUAGCGAAAUGAAAAUUUUCCUGUCCUGUCUGCUGUAAUCAUUUUAUAUCUGGAAAACCAGCCGACUUAAUCGAUAAUAACAAUCUCCAGAUUGGGUUCCUUCAAUAAAUAUGGGCUAUUAACACAAUGAAAUAAGUUCCAGAAAAUCUAAAAUGGAGUGGUAUCAAAGGAGAAUUAAAGGAAAAAAUAUUCAUAUUGAAAUUAUUUAUAAGGCACUGGACUGUCUUAAAUUCUACAAUAAUACUAGAAUCAGCUGAGAGAAGUGGUCUACAAAAAAACCAGGAAGGAAACGGAAUAUGUGGCUACGAAAGGCAAAAGAAAGGUUUACAAAGCAAAUGUGACACAUUUUUUUGAAAUAUUUAGGAAUAUCAGUAAAUUGCAUUAAAAAAAUGUAU